AGGGUUUGAUUCUGGCUCAGGACGAACGCCGGCGGCGCGCCUAACACAUGCAAGUCGAACGAGAGAGAGGAAGCUUGCUUCCUCAAUCGAGUGGCGAACGGGUGAGUAACGCGUGUGUAACCUGCCUUGUACAGGGGGAUAACAGUUGGAAACGGCUGCUAAUACCGCAUAAGCGCACAGCAUCGCAUGAUGCAGUGUGAAAAACUCCGGUGGUAUAAGAUGGACCCGCGUUGGAUUAGCUAGUUGGUGAGGUAACGGCCCACCAAGGCGACGAUCCAUAGCCGACCUGAGAGGGUGACCGGCCACAUUGGGACUGAGACACGGCCCAA
This 329-nucleotide ribosomal RNA is filed under the name uncultured bacterium. RNAcentral's name for it is "bacterial SSU rRNA". It matches the Rfam family "Bacterial small subunit ribosomal RNA", at positions 8 to 334 of the family's 1533-position model. The record is from RNAcentral.